GAGCUAUGAGGAAAGAAAAGUCUAAUGACACUUAUGAAUAAUUUAUACGCUAUUCUGAGCUCUUC
This is a non-coding RNA of Biomphalaria glabrata, 65 nucleotides long. The record is from Rfam. NCBI's taxonomy places the organism in Eukaryota, Metazoa, Mollusca, Gastropoda, Planorbidae.